AGAGCGAACGCUGGCGGCAGGCCUAACACAUGCAAGUCGAACGGACUCUUCGGAGUUAGUGGCGGACGGGUGAGUAACACGUGGGAACGUGCCUUUAGGUUCGGAAUAGCUCCUGGAAACGGGUGGUAAUACCGAAUGUGCCCUUCGGGGGAAGGAUUUAUCGCCUUUAGGGCGGCCCGCGUCUGAUUAGCUUGUUGGUGAGGUAAUGGCUCACCAAGGCUACGAUCAGUAGCUGGUCUGAGAGGAUGACCAGCCACAUUGGGACUGAGACACGGCCCAAACUCCUACGGGAGGCAGCAGUGGGGAAUCUUGCGCAAUGGGCGAAAGCCUGACGCAGCCAUGCCGCGUGUAUGAUGAAGGUCUUAGGAUUGUAAAAUACUUUCACCGGUGAAGAUAAUGACUGUAGCCGGAGAAGAAGCCCCGGCUAACUUCGUGCCAGCAGCCGC
RNAcentral lists this ribosomal RNA (446 nucleotides) under uncultured soil bacterium. RNAcentral's name for it is "bacterial SSU rRNA". It matches the Rfam family "Bacterial small subunit ribosomal RNA", at positions 26 to 518 of the family's 1533-position model. The record is from RNAcentral.